This 133-nucleotide small nucleolar RNA is filed under the name Dasypus novemcinctus (nine-banded armadillo). RNAcentral describes it as "Small nucleolar RNA SNORA3/SNORA45 family (ENSDNOG00000039207.1)". It matches the Rfam family "Small nucleolar RNA SNORA3/SNORA45 family". From Rfam's summary of the family: The members of this family belong to the H/ACA class of snoRNAs which are thought to guide the sites of modification of uridines to pseudouridines. This family includes mouse snoMBI-28 and human homologues ACA3 (SNORA3) and ACA3-2 (SNORA45). The record is from RNAcentral. Lineage: Eukaryota; Metazoa; Chordata; Mammalia; Cingulata; Dasypodidae.
CCCGAGACUAGAGUCACAUCCCGACACAGCUCUUGUCCUGGUGUGCUAGAGUCGUCGGAGAGAAUCUACUGAUCUUGAUUCAUUGGUGGGGGGGUGAUUGGUGUCCCCACCAGUGCCCUGAUCAGAAACAUGU